UGGGGAAUAUUGGGCAAUGGGCGCAAGCCUGACCCAGCAACGCCGCGUGAAGGAAGAAGGCUUUCGGGUUGUAAACUUCUUUUAAGAGGGAAGAGCAGAAGACUGUACCUCUAGAAUAAGCCACGGCUAACUACGUGCCAGCAGCCGCGGUAAUACGUAGGUGGCAAGCGUUGUCCGGAUUUACUGGGUGUAAAGGGCGUGCAGCCGGGAAUGCAAGUCAGAUGUGAAAUCCAUGGGCUUAACCCAUGAACUGCAUUUGAAACUGUAUUUCUUGAGUACUGGAGAGGCAAUCGGAAUUCCUAGUGUAGCGGUGAAAUGCGUAGAUAUUAGGAGGAACACCAGUGGCGAAGGCGGAUUGCUGGACAGCAACUGACGGUGAGGCGCGAAAGUGUGGGGAGCA
RNAcentral lists this ribosomal RNA (400 nucleotides) under uncultured bacterium. RNAcentral's name for it is "bacterial SSU rRNA". It matches the Rfam family "Bacterial small subunit ribosomal RNA", at positions 355 to 770 of the family's 1533-position model. The record is from RNAcentral.